Molecule: ribosomal RNA, 68 nt
Filed under: Nitrospiraceae bacterium
Lineage: Bacteria; Pseudomonadati; Nitrospirota; Nitrospiria; Nitrospirales; Nitrospiraceae
Description: partial 16S ribosomal RNA
Rfam family: Bacterial small subunit ribosomal RNA
Source: RNAcentral
ACUAUUGAGAGUUUGAUCCUGGCUCAGAACGAACGCUGGCGGCGUGCUUAACACAUGCAAGUCGAACG